UCUUCCUUGUGGAGCAACACUCUGUAAUCUGCACCUACUCCUUUUAAACGCAAGAACACACACUGAGGUUAAACGAUACACAACACAAGUGUGUGUUUGGUGUGUUCUGUUUUUUUUCUCUGUUUUUUUAUUUUUUUUUAUUUUAUGGAGAGGCACAAGUGCAAGCUUUGCUUAAGGAGUUUCGCCAAUGGAAGAGCUUUAGGAGGUCACAUGAGGUCUCACAUGAUGAACCUACCCGUUCCUCCCAAAGAGAGCGAGUUCGUUCCGGUUCAACUCAGUUUUGAGGCCGAGUCAUCGCCUUCUCAAUCCUCUUCUUCCUUCUACGGUCUCAGAGAGAAUCCCAAGAAAAGUUUCCGUUUUGCAGAUCCUGAAUUCUCGUUCGCAGCAGAAACGGGUUCCGUGAUCCUCCAAGAUAGAGAGAGCGAGACGGAGUCGUCCAAGAACCCGACUCGAAAACGAUCCAAGAGGGCGUGGCAACUCGGAGAACCCGUGAAAAAGAUGAAACUCUGUGGGAACAAUAACAAGAACGAAUCUGCGAGUUCUGCUUCCGAUACCACCGCGGAAGAAGCCGUAGCAUUUUGUCUAAUGAUGCUGUCUCGUGACAGAUGGAAGAAAUAUGAUGAUCAUAAAAACAUACAGCAGUAUGAUGAUGAUGAGGUUGAAGACGACGAUGAAGACGACGAUGAUGAUGAAGAAGAAGAAGAUGAAGAAGAGGAUGAUGAAGAAAAAAAUGGUUUUGAAUUGGAGGAGAUGAAAUCUGUUAAGAGGAGUAACAAGGUGCGUGGGAGGUACAAAUGCGAAACGUGUGACAAGGUGUUUCGAUCUUACCAAGCUCUUGGUGGGCACAGAGCGAGUCACAAGAAGAUGAAGUUAAACUCUGAAACGGAGUUUCAGAAACCCGAACCUGAACCAGAGCACGUUGCUGUGUCGGAGAAGAAAAUCCACGAAUGCCCGGUUUGCUCUAGAGUCUUCGGUUCGGGUCAAGCACUCGGUGGACACAAGAGAACACAUGUUAUAGGUUCUUCUGCAACUCACACCACUGCAACCGUAAGAACUUCUGCAACUGUUUCGGUUGGAGCUUCUGUCAGAGUUGGAGACAGUUUGAUAGAUCUUAAUCUCCCUGCUCCAGUAGAUGAUGAUGAAGACAUUAGCCAGUUCGAUCACUCUGCUCUUUCCGAUGCAGAGUUUGUCAAAGAGUGAAGAAGGCUUUUUCUUAGUUUGAACUUCUCUGAUUUUCUUUCCCUUUGACUAAUUAGACUCUGAUCCCAAGAAGGGUUGGAAGCAUGCGUGUUUUAGUGGGCUCUGUUUCAGCUUUCAAGCAAACACUACUUAAGUAAACUGAUAUACCAUUCAUUGCUUGUGAAUAUUAAAUAAACCAAGUCAUUGAUUCACACAGUGAGAUGAUCAAGCUGCAUAUUUUAAUGAUAGAAAAGUAACUUCCACUUCUGACCACCAGCAUUGCACAGUUGAGGAAGAGGAAUAUGUUUCUUUCGUUUUUUCUUUAUUUUACUCGUGAAGACAAUAAGGAUGUUCCAUGUUGCUCAUCUUUUAUCUUUUUUUUUUUCAUUUUUUCACAAAAUUGUUGUUGAGAAGAAGAAGAAGAAGAUAUUAGUAGGUGAAUAAGAAAGAAAGUUGAUGGGAGAAGUGAUUGAGUCAAUGAAUGUGGUUAUUUCAUUAAAUUUUGAUUGCCAUUUUUGGGAAAUCUGUAAAGGUGAUUUGAGAAAAGAGAAAAAGGAAGCAGAUCCCUUAUUUUAGUGUUGGCUGACAGAUUAAUUUGGCUUAGUUGGGCGUGACUCAAGGUAUCUAGCUGAGGCAGGCCUUUUGGUUCUUUAUGGUAAACUUUCAGUCACACUCAUUAAAUUUGUAAUAAAUGACAUAUCAUCCGUUUCAUGCAUUU
RNA transcript from Vigna angularis (adzuki bean), 1897 nucleotides. It is a transcript of the gene named zinc finger protein ZAT9, with no coding region annotated. The record is from RefSeq and is a predicted model, not a curated record. The transcript is spliced from 2 exons. NCBI's taxonomy places the organism in Eukaryota, Viridiplantae, Streptophyta, Magnoliopsida, Fabales, Fabaceae.